Molecule: long non-coding RNA, 1391 nt
Filed under: Bemisia tabaci
Lineage: Eukaryota; Metazoa; Arthropoda; Insecta; Hemiptera; Aleyrodidae
Description: lncRNA ENSSSA2NGG014265
Source: RNAcentral
AGUGUUAACGAAAAAAAGAGCUCAGAGAACAAAUUAGCCAAACCAGAGAAAGAUAUCGAGAAGAAAAAUCAGUUGACGAGAGUAAAAAACCCUGCAAGGAGGAGGUUAAACGAGAAACGGAUACGGAAAAACAUGAUGCUGUACCUGUCACUACACCUGUCACACCAGUUCCACCUGUCGUUCCACCUGUCACUACACCUGUCACACCAGUCCCACCUGUCACGAAUGUGACAUCUGCAACGCCGAUACCGAUCAAGUCAUCAGACAUGAAUGGCGUGAUCAGCUCGGCAGUAGAAAUCAAAGAGGAGUUUGCUCCGCCAACGAGGAAACGGAGCUCGUCGAUUUCGAAUCGCAACCAACGGAGAGCAACCCCGCCAUCACUGGAUAGUGUUCUGAUGCAAACAGAAGGUCAGUCAUGGAAGAACAAAGAGCAGCCACAAAUUCAUAAUGUACCUGUUAAGCUACUGAACGAUGAGCAUUGCGUUGCCGAGACAACUUUAUUCCAAGUGAUAACGAGUCAACAUCGGCAUAUGGGAAGGAUAGAGUUGUUGAUGGCGUUACUCUAGUGGACGUUGACACUGCGUCAACGACAUGUGUUUCAAUCAAAGGUGCACGAGAGGAGGCUGAUGGUGAGGAGAUGAAUUCGUCAUCAAACUGGUUGCGGCUGCACAGCUCGGAGGCGCUCGAGUCAAACAUAACGGUCGUGACAACGACUCACCCACCUGCCAUCCUGACGCAUCCAGCAACCAGCACACCCUCUAGACAACAGCCAAACAGAGCCGCAACUCCCAAUAGUCAAGUUAUAAUUGUAUCAAACGAACUCAACAAAACACAGGUGGAUGAUGCUGCAACAGACGAUGACAUCACUGUUGUGAGCCGCUUACAAGCUGGCGAAUCGCCAGCUGAAAUGAGUCAUGUUUCUGUCAUUACAGUGGGUGAAAACACUACUCCUCAAAGAAGGAUACAGGACAACUCGUUUUGGACUUCUGGUAAGCUUUCACAGUAUGUUUCUAGACUGCGAUAUAGUCAAAGAGUCGGAUAAUUAGUAGGCAGGAUGAACAUCAGGCACGCAAAUGAAUCGUUCAUCCUCAAAACGAUUUACUUGCCAAAAAUGAAAGUACAAGAAUAACAGUGGCCCGUUUUAAAUCUCUAAAAUAUGAAUAGAUUAAUUAAUUGCUCACAGUAUUGAAGCUAAGCUGUCAAAUGGAUACAUAGAUUAAUACAGUUAGUUUAGAUCAAUACUGUAUCUACUGUAUUUGAAGAAAGUUCAAAUUUUCCAUUAAAAAAAUGGGGUAAUCGGUCCUAAAAUUAGACAUUACUCUGAAAGAAAAAAAAUGCUUGAUCCGACAAAUGUCUGGCGUUUCAGAACUCUUUGCCUCUCUGGAAUCUAA